RNAcentral lists this small nuclear RNA (107 nucleotides) under Neotoma lepida (desert woodrat). The record is from RNAcentral. Lineage: Eukaryota; Metazoa; Chordata; Mammalia; Rodentia; Cricetidae.
GUGGUCACCUCUGCAGCACAGACACUACGUUUGGAACCAUACAGAGAGCACUAGCGUGGCCUCUGCCCAAGGAUGACAUGGAAAUUCACGAAUCAUUCCAUAUUUUU